CAUGCUUAACACAUGCAAGUCGAACGGAAAACGAUGGAAGCUUGCUUCCUGGCGUCGAGUGGCGGACGGGUGAGUAAUGCAUAGGAAUCUGCCUAUUAGUGGGGGGAUAACUAUCUGAAAGGGUAGCUAAUACCGCAUAAUCUCUUAGGAGGAAAGCAGGGGAUCUUCGGACUUUGUGCUGAUAGAUGAGCCUAUGUCGGAUUAGCUUGUUGGUGAGGUAAUGGCUUACCAAGGCGACGAUCCGUAGCUGGUUUGAGAGGAUGACCAGCCACAUCGGGACUGAGACACGGCCCGAACUCCUACGGGAGGCAGCAGUGGGGAAUAUUGGACAAUGGGGGCAACCCUGAUCCAGCAAUGCCGCGUGUGUGAAGAAGGCCUUAGGGUUGUAAAGCACUUUCAGACGCGAGGAAACGGGUGUAGCUAAUAACUGCACCAAUUGACGUUAACGUCAGAAGAAGCACCGGCUAACUCCGUGCCAGCAGCCGCGGUAAUACGGAGGGUGCGAGCGUUAAUCGGAAUUACUGGGCGUAAAGCGCGCGUAGGCGGAUUAAUAAGUCAGAUGUGAAAGCCCUGGGCUCAACCUAGGAACUGCAUUUGAAACUGUUAAUCUUGAGUAUGGUAGAGGUAAAUGGAAUUUCCAGUGUAGCAGUGAAAUGCGUAGAGAUUGGAAGGAAUAUCGAUUGCGAAGGCAGUUUACUGGGCCAAUACUGACGCUGAGGUGCGAAAGCGUGGGUAGCGAACGGG
Molecule: ribosomal RNA, 744 nt
Filed under: uncultured bacterium
Lineage: Bacteria
Description: bacterial SSU rRNA
Rfam family: Bacterial small subunit ribosomal RNA
Source: RNAcentral